AUGGGAAGCCCUGGACACGAAAAACAGCAGGAAACAGAGACCCAUGCAAUACUCCCAACUCCAGAUUCUUUCUUCAGUCACAAAACUGUGUUAAUUGGUAACAGGUAUAGUAGUAUUACUUUAGGAGUUAUUAUGGCCGAAAUGCACACUGAGCAACUCCAGUUGGCUGACUGGCAAUGCGAUAUAGCUCCUGAUCUUUUCCUGCUUGCUCGCAAGAAGAAUAUCUCUGUUGCAUCUGCCAUCGUCCAGGGGACUUGGAUGGUUGGUCUGCGGUGCAUCUCCAGUGCUUUGCAGCUUCGUCAGUUCAUUGGCUUGUGGACUGCCAACCUGCAAAUACAGCGCUAG
This 345-nucleotide ribosomal RNA is filed under the name Triticum aestivum (bread wheat). RNAcentral's name for it is "partial small subunit ribosomal RNA". Lineage: Eukaryota; Viridiplantae; Streptophyta; Magnoliopsida; Poales; Poaceae. The record is from RNAcentral.